GGCCCGUAACUUAGUGGUAGUGCAUUUGCUUUGCAUUCAAAAGCUCCCUGGUUCAAUCCCGGGCAUUGCCA
This is a non-coding RNA of Podarcis lilfordi (Lilford's wall lizard), 71 nucleotides long. The record is from the annotation of a GenBank genome assembly. NCBI's taxonomy places the organism in Eukaryota, Metazoa, Chordata, Lepidosauria, Squamata, Lacertidae.